This 497-nucleotide ribosomal RNA is filed under the name uncultured bacterium. Its description in RNAcentral is "partial 16S ribosomal RNA". It matches the Rfam family "Bacterial small subunit ribosomal RNA", at positions 28 to 507 of the family's 1533-position model. The record is from RNAcentral.
GAUGAACGCUGGCGGCGUGCCUAAUACAUGCAAGUCGAGCGAACAGAUAAGGAGCUUGCUCCUUUGACGUUAGCGGCGGACGGGUGAGUAACACGUGGGUAACCUACCUAUAAGACUGGAAUAACUCCGGGAAACCGGGGCUAAUGCCGGAUAACAUUUAGAACCGCAUGGUUCUAAAGUGAAAGAUGGUUUUGCUAUCACUUAUAGAUGGACCCGCGCCGUAUUAGCUAGUUGGUAAGGUAACGGCUUACCAAGGCAACGAUACGUAGCCGACCUGGGAGGGUGAUCGGCCACACUGGAACUGAGACACGGUCCAGACUCCUACGGGAGGCAGCAGUAGGGAAUCUUCCGCAAUGGGCGAAAGCCUGACGGAGCAACGCCGCGUGAGUGAUGAAGGUCUUCGGAUCGUAAAACUCUGUUAUUAGGGAAGAACAAAUGUGUAAGUAACUGUGCACGUCCUGACGGUACCUAAUCAGAAAGCCACGGCUAACUACGUG